AUACCUUUCUCGGCCUUUUGGCUAAGAUCAAGUGUAGUAUCUGUUCUUAUCAGUUUAAUAUCUGAUACGUGGGCCAUUGGCCCACAUGAUAUUAAAUUAAUUUAUUAAGGGGGAAGGCCACAGUGGUAGCUUGCUGCCACCGCCUUCGAGUGUCGCCCAUGCGUUGCACUGCUGCUUGGGUUUGGCGCACUCCUC
Non-coding RNA from Cucumis sativus (cucumber), 195 nucleotides. Lineage: Eukaryota; Viridiplantae; Streptophyta; Magnoliopsida; Cucurbitales; Cucurbitaceae. The record is from Rfam.